Molecule: long non-coding RNA, 1358 nt
Filed under: Lingula anatina
Lineage: Eukaryota; Metazoa; Brachiopoda; Lingulata; Lingulida; Lingulidae
Description: uncharacterized LOC106171667, transcript variant X1
Source: RNAcentral
CGCAUUACCAACAUCUCUUGCUCCUCCAGAUAAAACAUUCAGGGAUUCGUAAAUUAUAAAGAUGCCUGCUCUUGGGCAUGAACAAAUAUAUGAAGUCAUCAGAUGAUAAAGAACAUUUCCUGCAACGACAGUGCCAGGCGGUCCUCGUGUUUCGUGAAAAAUGGUCCAAUAAAGCAGGCAUUUGAAGUCGAAGGGCUAUGGAUCACUCCAUUCAUCAACAAGAGCAUAGGACUCUAAAGCAAUGGUAAUCAGAAUUCGUAUAAAUUCGUACACCUAUCACCCGCCUCCAUUAAGACAAAUGAAUUGGCCAGCUCUGCAGCGUGGUCCAUUCAGUAAUUAGCACGACUGAGAAGCAGCCAAGGUGACAAGCUGUCGUUAUUGCUCUUUGGCCUCUCUUUACCGGAGGCAGUGGGCAAGCAACACCAAUAUGUGCCAGAAGAACAGUUGUCACACGAGACGCGUGGGAUCUAUUGAUAAAAAGAUUUCAUUAACAAACCUCCAUGGCAGCCUGACAGAUACGACAUCACGCAGCAGUUGUACCAUCAGUGUUCGUUUCGAAGGCGGGGCUUCGUGAACACGACAGACACCCAAUAGGGCGGUGUCUCUCGCUUUGACAGACAGCCAUUAGGGCGGGAUCUCGUCACCUUGACAGACAGCCAAUAGGGCGGGAUCUCGUCACCUUGACAGACAGCCAAUGGGGCGGGGUCUCGUCACCUUGACAAGCAGCCAACUGCACAGGCGUUUUAAAGCCACUCCUUUCCAAAUCGGAGUGAUCUUUGCAGAUGAUUAACACUCAUUAAUAAUCUAACUGUACUCAAGAAGUCAUGCUACUCCUAUCCCUUUCCAAGAAAACUCUAAUUGAGAAACGAGUUUUAUUUCACUUUAAAGAUAUCGACGUGAUAGGCCCUAGGGAAAAUCUUAAGAUUGUCACUAAGCGGUCACGUUAGGACAUUCCGGUAUACGUGAACCAUUUUAUAUUCAUCAAAUAAAUGGACCAAGGGUGCAAUCGACGGCUCAUAAGAUCGGACGUUGCAGGUGACAUUUGGCUGGAUGUUGAUAACUUCAUUAGACAUUUCUCGUGGUUUCUUUAUUGAACGUGGGUUGGCCGAGAUGGGGCCGAGUAUGGAUUUUUGAAUAAUAAUAAUAAUAAUGAUAAUCCAAAGAAAUCUCAGACAUUACCGACUAUAUGGGGACCUAGGCAAGGUGUAAAAUGCCUUCUUCCCAAAGAACUUUUAUGAGCAUAUUACCAAUAGUAGCAUUAUGAGAUUCAAUGUUUUUUCUUUCCAUGUACCACCGACCCUCCCUCAAUACCCAUCUUAAAUGCUUUACUGGAAGAAAAAUACCUAACUCUUAAUAUA